AUAUAACUAAGCGGAGGAAAAGAAACUAACAAGGAUUUCCCUAGUAACGGCGAGUGAAGCGGAAAAAGCACAGGCUGAAAACCUUCGGGGAUGUGGUCUGAAGAACAUGCAUCCAUCGGAAGUACACGAAUCAAGUGGUCUGGAAAGGCCCGCCAUGGAGGGUGAUAGCCCCGUUCGUAUUUGUGUAUGGAAGAAAUGGAGUGUGUUCGAGGAGUCGAGUUGCUUGGGAUUGCAGCUCAAAUGGGUGGUAAAUUCCAUCUAAUGCUAAAUAUGGGUGGGAGACCGAUAGCGCACAAGUA
Molecule: ribosomal RNA, 299 nt
Filed under: uncultured eukaryote
Lineage: Eukaryota
Description: partial large subunit ribosomal RNA
Rfam family: Eukaryotic large subunit ribosomal RNA
Source: RNAcentral